Molecule: ribosomal RNA, 497 nt
Filed under: uncultured bacterium
Lineage: Bacteria
Description: partial 16S ribosomal RNA
Rfam family: Bacterial small subunit ribosomal RNA
Source: RNAcentral
GACGAACGCUGGCGGCGUGCCUAAUACAUGCAAGUUGAGCGCUGAAGGUUGGUACUUGUACCAACUGGAUGAGCAGCGAACGGGUGAGUAACGCGUGGGGAAUCUGCCUUUGAGCGGGGGACAACAUUUGGAAACGAAUGCUAAUACCGCAUAAAAACUUUAAACACAAGUUUUAAGUUUGAAAGAUGCAAUUGCAUCACUCAAAGAUGAUCCCGCGUUGUAUUAGCUAGUUGGUGAGGUAAAGGCUCACCAAGGCGAUGAUACAUAGCCGACCUGAGAGGGUGAUCGGCCACAUUGGGACUGGGACACGGCCCAAACGCCUACGGGAGGCAGCAGUAGGGAAUCUUCGGCAAUGGACGAAAGUCUGACCGAGCAACGCCGCGGGAGUGAAGAAGGUUUUCGGAUCGUAAAACUCGGUUGGUAGAGAAGAACGUUGGUGAGAGUGGAAAGCUCAUCAAGUGACGGUAACUACACAAAAAGGGACGGCUAACUACGUG